RNAcentral lists this ribosomal RNA (520 nucleotides) under uncultured Glomus. RNAcentral's name for it is "SSU rRNA". It matches the Rfam family "Eukaryotic small subunit ribosomal RNA", at positions 569 to 1092 of the family's 1831-position model. Lineage: Eukaryota; Fungi; Glomeromycota; Glomeromycetes; Glomerales; Glomeraceae. The record is from RNAcentral.
AGCAGCCGCGGUAAUUCCAGCUCCAAUAGCGUAUAUUAAAGUUGUUGCAGUUAAAAAGCUCGUAGUUGAAUUUCGGGAUUAGUACGCUGGUCGUGCCUUAGGUAUGCACUGGUGUUACUGGUUCCUACCUUCUGACGAACCGUCAUGUCAUUAAUUUGGUGUGGCGGGGAAUCAGGACUGUUACUUUGAAAAAAUUAGAGUGUUUAAAGCAGGCUCGCGCUUGAAUACAUUAGCAUGGAAUAAUGAAAUAGGACGUUCGAUCCUAUUUUGUUGGUUUCUAGGAUUGACGUAAUGAUUAAUAGGGAUAGUUGGGGGCAUUAGUAUUCAAUUGUCAGAGGUGAAAUUCUUGGAUUUAUUGAAGACUAACUACUGCGAAGGCAUUUGCCAAGGAUGUUUUCAUUAAUCAAGAACGAAAGUUAGGGGAUCGAAGACGAUCAGAUACCGUCGUAGUCUUAACCAUAAACUAUGCCGACUAGGGAUCGGAUGAUGUUAUUUUUAAUGACUCAUUCGGCGCCUUAAC